UGUUUUAUUUCUAACAUCCACAGAACAUGAAAUAGAUUGGUUUUGUGGACGACAUUAGAGAUUUCGAGGAUGGUUAUCAGUCAAUAGCUUUGUGACACCUCAGCAUAUUCUUUGAUAUUGUGGGUCCACCUCUUGGAUAAGAUAAUUUCCAGAUUUUUUUCUUGCAAAAAAAAAAUCUAUCAGAAUUAGUUUUUUUUAAAUAGUUUGCAUCUGAGAGUAUACUGUAUGUGAAUAUGUGACUAUCAUAGUGUCAUAAUAAAAUUGUAGGAAUUAUAUAAAUUUUAAUAUUCGUAUUUUUUUUAAUUAACAAUUAUCAUAAAGUUCAUUGUGACAGUUAACAACUUAACAUGUUGUCUUUUGGUCACAUGAUAUUGUCUAACACCAAUAACAAUAAUAAUUUCGUUAUUUUCUUGAUUUUAGUAGAAAACAAAUAAAAAAUAAAUAUAUGGAGAUUAUAAGUUGUUGAUGUACUCGAGCAAAUCUCUUUCCCUUGUAUAUUACUGAGAAGCUUGAAAGGAGAAAAAAGUUGAUGUAUGAUUAGGUUUCGUCAUGUGCACUUUUCUAUGUGACUCAUUGCCAUUUGCUUAUACGUGCUUACUUGUUCUCAUGUAACUGUGUUUAGGCUAGAGGAAAACGAAAAGCUUGUGUUGACUCCAUUCGAAAAGAACCUCGACAUCUGGAGACAGCUUUGGCGAGUGCUUGAACAUUGUUAUGGUAGUUGAUGCUAGAGAUCCACUGUUUUAACGUUGCCCUGAUCUUGAGGUAUUGCAACUUCAAACCCAUGUGACACCAUAUCCCUGAUCCAUAUCACUAACUUCAAGAUUCUUCCUAAACCCAAACCUUACGAGCGUCAGUUACGUCCCCCUCACGCUGCUGAGCUGCUGAGAGCUUACUGCGCUUCUCUCGGCUACCUCGCCUCUAGUGGACUGCCUGAUGAGACCAAAGCUGCGUGGGGGAUUUUGAAAGAUUACUUGGGAGGUAUAAGCUGCCGCAUUUCGCAAUGCCGCCGGGGAUGAUGAGUGAGGAGGAGAAGGGAGAGGUACACUAGUGCUGAAACAUGUCCAGAUGAUGAGGAUGAGGAGGAAAGCGAGGAGGUUCCUGGUAUUGAUGAUGUGCUGGAUGAUCUGAGCUCGUUUGAUGUGCGAAUGGGAUUGCGUCUUCGAAGGAAGUGGCGAUGAAGAAGGAGAAGGCGUCGCAUAAACAGCAUAAGAAGCCACAGAGGAAGAAGGAUAGGAACUGGAGAGUUAAGAACGCUGAGGAUGGUGAUGGGCCUCUUGUUAGAGUUUUUCAGAAACCUGCUGACACAGGGCCUCACAUUAUGCGGUGAUUAGUGACAACUGACAAGUAACCAAAGAUAUUAUGUUCUAAAGUUUAUGUGAUACAGAUGAGUUGGUGUAUUAUCAAUCUAAGAUACUUUUUUGUCAACAGAUACUUAAAAAGUUUUUAUUUUUUAUUUUUAAAGUUUUGUUAAUUCUAGUUAUUUAAGAGCUUUUAUACUG
Molecule: long non-coding RNA, 1499 nt
Organism: Brassica rapa (field mustard)
Lineage: Eukaryota; Viridiplantae; Streptophyta; Magnoliopsida; Brassicales; Brassicaceae
Source: RefSeq, a predicted model, not a curated record